RNAcentral lists this long non-coding RNA (1307 nucleotides) under Equus caballus (horse). RNAcentral's name for it is "lncRNA (ENSECAG00000059554.1)". The record is from RNAcentral. Lineage: Eukaryota; Metazoa; Chordata; Mammalia; Perissodactyla; Equidae.
UCACACCACACCAGUGUUCACAGACUGGUGCUGCCUCUUCAGGGCUGGACGCUCCGUCGCUGCUUUGGGCAUCAGUGUGUCUCUCAAAAGAGAGAGUCGAGGGUCUUAGAGAGCGUGUGCUUUGUUACUUAGGCGGCACUUCUAUUUAAGAACCUGCUGCCACAGGUUUUAUCCAAAUGGUUAAGGAGGCCAGUGACGAUAAACAACAUCAAGUCUGUCUAGAUGAUCAAAUAUGGGUUUAUUUUGAAGGACAACCUGCAACAGGGCCUGCCUUUUCUACUUGUUUGAAACACUCCUUUGCCCCCGAGUUUUGAACAUGAUGGUUGUGGGACCACGACCAUCCCGACUACAGCCAUGAACCGCUGCUUCCACGUUGCGCUGUGGCCACAAGACCAGAGAGAAAGUCUCCCACCAUCACUAGAAAUUCAGAUUGUCGGCUUCACUCUGUUAAAUGCGGAACCAUGAGUUAUGAGGUCUCUUUAUCAUUUUAAAAACACAGGGUAGUCUGCAAAAUAUAGAAGUGUGUGAGUGCUAAUUUGCAUUCCUGUGGUUAAAUGGAAUAGCUUCAGAAAGGCAGAACAAUAUUUUUUUCCCUGAAGCCCAGUCCUGACAGGAUUUUCUGGAAAUUAUGGAGAUUUGAGACUAAAAAUUAAAGCUGUUUUGAACAAAACAUCCUAUUCAUUCCGUAUCUGCAAUGAAUAAAGCCAAACACUGCUCAGCACACAGAUGGUGAAAAGAAAGAAAAGAGAAGGAAAAAGAGAAGAAGAUCGAAUUGGAACAGCACAUAACAGAUGUGGGUGGGAAAUAACUACGUAGCUGAAAGGUAUGCUGUUUCUUAGAAAAUAUGAACAUCGACUAUCGAUUCCCCCAAGAGAUGCUUGCAGCCAGCCCACUUUCCUCUCCCAUCUUGUCCAGAACUAGAGGAUGGAGCAUCCUUAUGGCUUGGACAGGCGGGGUCGUGUGCCUCCCAGAGAAGAACGAGAGCCAGCCGGUCAUCUCCAGGAGAAAGAAGAAGAGAACUAGUCAGCAAUGGCACAGCUGCUCGUUGUGUUUCCGGCACUGUUGUGUCACAUAUAUGGUUUUAUUUCUAAUCUCCAUGUAAACUCCAUACAAAAGGCUCUGGUGUUACGCUCGUCUUAUAGACGAGGAAGCUGGGAAACGGCAGGCCUUCCUCUUGCAGAGACUGAGAGAGAAGAGGAAUUCGGACUAAGGUGUAUCAGGCCGGUAGCACACGCUUCAGCUACGAAGCUGCCUAUCUGUUCUUGUAUUGACUUAUUUUCUUCAUUAAAUAGAUAAAUGUAUUACAG